RNAcentral lists this ribosomal RNA (497 nucleotides) under uncultured bacterium. Its description in RNAcentral is "partial 16S ribosomal RNA". It matches the Rfam family "Bacterial small subunit ribosomal RNA", at positions 28 to 507 of the family's 1533-position model. The record is from RNAcentral.
GAUGAACGCUGGCGGCGUGCCUAAUACAUGCAAGUCGAGCGAACAGAUGAUGAGCUUGCUCCUCUGACGUUAGCGGCGCACGUGUGAGUAACACGUGGAUCCCCUCCCUAUCAGUCUGGUAUAACUUCGGGAAUCCGGCGCUAAUCCCGGAUAAUCUCUUGCUCCGUAUGGUUCAUUAGUGAGAGACGGUUUUGCUGUCACUUAUAGCUGGAUCUGCGCCGCAUUAGCUAGUUGGUAAGGUAACGGCUUACCAAGGCGACGAUGCGUAGCCGAACUGAGAGAGUGGUAGGCGACACUGGAACUGGGACACGGUCCAGGCGCCUACGGGAGGCAGCAGUAGGGAAUCGGACGCAAUGGGCGAAAGCCUGACGGAGCGACGCCGCGUGAGUGGUGAAGGUCUUCGGAUCGUAAAACUCUGUUAUUAGGGAAGAACAACUGUGUAGGUAACUAUGCACGUCUUGACGGUAACUAAUAAGAAAGCCACGGCUAACUACGUG